RNAcentral lists this long non-coding RNA (2345 nucleotides) under Gossypium raimondii (Peruvian cotton). RNAcentral describes it as "long non-coding RNA (GRAI_LNC001603)". Lineage: Eukaryota; Viridiplantae; Streptophyta; Magnoliopsida; Malvales; Malvaceae. The record is from RNAcentral.
CACGCCGUCUGAUCCUAAAUUUGCUGAAUAUCUAAAAAAGUCAAAUACAGAGGAGUGAGCUAACACGCUCAGUAUGUAACUAAACCCAAGCAAAAACACAAAUAACAUAAUAACCAAUAAAAAAUUACAGAGAAUCUCAUCAAACUCACAUGGAAAAAUCCUGCAUGCAUGAUUAUGUCAAUGCAAUACUUUUAGAAAUCAAAAUGCAGAUUUUUCAGAAAACUUCCUACCCAACUCCGUUACACACCAAAUUGGAGUUCCCCAGAACUCGUCCAUUCAAAACGCACGAACAGAUAAAUGUGGACUAUGCCACCAGAGUUGCAGUUAAACUGCCAGAUUAGAUAUAUGUGGUCACACCACUAUAUUGUAGCCAAGCUGCUAGGACAGAUAUGUAUGGUCAAGCCACAAUAAUUGCAAACAAGCUGCUAUACAGGAUUGUGGAUAAUCCACUAGAGAGUGCAGAUCAUUAAACUGCUCGAACUUCCUCCUUACCAUAUUAUCCCAACCUCAUGCAAAGUGUCAUAGAAUGCAAAUAUAGAAUUUGAAUGAAAAGCAUGUAAGACAUGCAAUUGUACAAUAACAGAAAGCAGAAGGCAUGGAAUUCCAUACUUUGCAAAACAAAUGUGUCACAAUUUUAACAAAAGCCAAUUAGUUUUGCCAUAAUGUUACAUGCAUGUUCACAUAAUAAAUUCAAAAAUAUAAAAAUUAACAUAAUCAGACACCAUAUGCUCAUAUACAAACAUGGCAAAAGAGAAACAUGCUAUCAAAAUUAUCAGUAUACAAAUCAUGCAUAUAAAAAUCACAUACCUUUUCUACAUUACUUACAACAUCACACUAAUAGAUAUCAUGUUUACAAGUCCUAUUUAUGCAAUAUGGACCCGAAAGGGCCAAAUACGCAUCACAGAUAAAUAUGUCCCUAAAUGAAAUUUCUAAAAAAUGGGCCCACACGCCCCAAAAGGUCUAACCUGUGUGGCUCACACAACCCAAAUAGCCUAGGUUGUGUGGUCCAGACGGUCUGGAACAUGACUUGGAACACGGCCAUUGUGUUUCACAUAGUUUGCCAUACGGCCUGCCAAAUAGCCUAGACAAUGAGUUUUUCGACUUUUUACCGUUCGCUAUUUUUACGAAAUCGAGUCACACUUGGAUUCUUUCUGAAAAACGUUGAUACGACACACUCCCAAACCCUAAAACCAACAUACCAAACGAUCUAAUAAGCAUCAAAACACCAAAAUUCAAAUAUUAACUAGUCUACUAGCAUAAGACCUUCAACCUUAAAACUAAAACUAGCCCCUUCUAGAUGUUAUGAAAAUUUACCCUUGAAGAGAAAAGAAAUUGCAGAAAUCCUCACUCACCAGAAGAGAAAACCUCUCACGAACCACCCUUAGCAAAAUCACAACUAAUGAAACAAAAAGACCUUCCAAAGAUAUCAAAACAACCACCCUAAAAUGAAACUAACAAAUUAUACUUGAGGAUUUUAAUAACACCAAUGCAGUUUAAAUGAUGGCACAAUAGAAGAUAGGUUGGCAAUGAAGAAACAAUAGCAAGAGAUAACAACAGGGGAAAAUGAUAACAAAUGUAAAAGAAACAAAAGAAUAAUGAAACAGAAAUAAAGAAGAAGAAAAAAAUAACGUCAGAGGAACAGAAAAUAGGACAAAAGAGAUGGAAGUAGUGGAAAGAGAAGAACAUAAAAAAUUGGGGAAAUUGCUAAAAUCAUCACUCUCCAGAAGAGUAAACACCUUACGAACCACCUUUAGCAAAAUCAUAACUAACAAAACCAAAAGACCUUCCAAAGAUACCAAGACAACCACCCUAAAAUGAAACUAACGAAUUAUACUUACCUGAAUAUUUUAAUAACACCAACGCAGUCUAAAUGGCGGCACAACAGAAGAUAGAUCGAUAAUGAAGAAGCAAUAUCAAGAGACGAAAACAGGGGAAUAUGGCAACAAAUGUAAAAGAAACGAAAGCAAAAUGAAAUAAAAAAAAGAAGAAAAAGAAAAUAAAGUUAGAGGAACAGAAAGUUGGAAAAAGAAAUGGAAGUAGUGGAAAAAGAGGAACAUAAAAAAUUUGGGAAAUUGCUAAAACCCUCACUCGCUAGAAAAGUAAACGCCUUACGAACCACCCCUAGAAAAAUCAACACUAAUGAAACCAAAAGUCCUUCCAAAGAUAGCAAAACAACCACCCUAAAAUGAAACUAACGAAUUAUACAUACUUGAAGAUUUUAAAAACACCGAUGCAGUCAAAAUGGCAGCACAACAGAAUAUAGGUCGGCAAUGAAGAAACAGUAGCAAGAGGCGUCAACAGGGGAAUAUGACAACAAAUGUAAAAGAAACAAAAGAAAACAAAGC